This 253-nucleotide ribosomal RNA is filed under the name uncultured bacterium. Its description in RNAcentral is "partial 16S ribosomal RNA". It matches the Rfam family "Bacterial small subunit ribosomal RNA", at positions 524 to 776 of the family's 1533-position model. The record is from RNAcentral.
UACGAAGGGGGCUAGCGUUGUUCGGAAUCACUGGGCGUAAAGGGCGCGUAGGCGGCUUUAUAAGUCGGGGGUGAAAGCCUGUGGCUCAACCAUAGAAUUGCCUUCGAUACUGUAGAGCUUGAGACCGGAAGAGGUAAGUGGAACUGCGAGUGUAGAGGUGAAAUUCGUAGAUAUUCGCAAGAACACCAGUGGCGAAGGCGGCUUACUGGUCCGGUUCUGACGCUGAGGCGCGAAAGCGUGGGGAGCAAACAGG